GUUGUAUGGUUAAGUGACUAAGCGUACACGGUGGAUGCCUUGGCAGUCAGAGGCGAUGAAGGACGUAUUAACUUGCGAUAAGCCCAGAUUAGGUAGUAAAAACCACUUGAGUCUGGGAUUUCCGAAUGGGGAAACCCACUUACAUAAGUAAGUAUCGUUAUGUGAAUACAUAGCAUAACGAGGCGAACCGGGGGAACUGAAACAUCUAAGUACCCCGAGGAAAAGAAAUCAACCGAGAUUCCGAAAGUAGCGGCGAGCGAAAUUGGACUAGCCCUUAAGCUUUAUACGCGUUAGGUGAACAAGCUGGAAAGCUUGGCGAUACAGGGUGAUAGCCCCGUAACUGACGACGCAUAUUCAGUGAAAUCGAGUAGGGCGGGACACGUGAUAUCCUGUCUGAAUAUGGGGGGACCAUCCUCCAAGGCUAAAUACUACUGACUGACCGAUAGUGAACCAGUACCGUGAGGGAAAGGCGAAAAGAACCCCUGUGAGGGGAGUGAAAUAGAACCUGAAACCGUGUACGUACAAGCAGUAGGAGCAGGCUUGUCCUGUGACUGCGUACCUUUUGUAUAAUGGGUCAGCGACUUAUAUUCAGUGGCAAGGUUAACCAUCUAGGGGAGCCGUAGGGAAACCGAGUCUUAACUGGGCGUUCAGUCUCUGGAUAUAGACCCGAAACCAGGUGAUCUAGCCAUGGGCAGGUUGAAGGUUGAGUAACAUCAACUGGAGGACCGAACCGACUAAUGUUGAAAAAUUAGCGGAUGACUUGUGGCUAGGGGUGAAAGGCCAAUCAAACCUGGAGAUAGCUGGUUCUCCCCGAAAGCUAUUUAGGUAGCGCCUCGGACGAAUACUACUGGGGGUAGAGCACUGUUAAGGCUAGGGGGUCAUCCCGACUUACCAACCCUUUGCAAACUCCGAAUACCAGUAAGUACUAUCCGGGAGACACACGGCGGGUGCUAACGUCCGUCGUGGAGAGGGAAACAACCCAGACCGCCAGCUAAGGUCCCAAAUUACUACUAAGUGGGAAACGAUGUGGGAAGGCUCAGACAGCCAGGAUGUUGGCUUAGAAGCAGCCAUCAUUUAAAGAAAGCGUAAUAGCUCACUGGUCGAGUCGGCCUGCGCGGAAGAUGUAACGGGGCUAAGUAGUAAACCGAAGCUGCGGCAAUACUCUUUGAGUAUUGGGUAGGGGAGCGUUCUGUAAGCGGUUGAAGGUGUGUGGUAACGCAUGCUGGACGUAUCAGAAGUGCGAAUGCUGACAUGAGUAACGAUAAAGGGGGUGAAAAACCUCCUCGCCGGAAGACCAAGGGUUCCUGUCCAACGUUAAUCGGGGCAGGGUAAGUCGACCCCUAAGGCGAGGCCGAAAGGCGUAGUCGAUGGGAAACGGGUUAAUAUUCCCGUACUUCUUACAAUUGCGAUGGGGGGACGGAGAAGGCUAGGUGGGCCUGGCGACGGUUGUCCAGGUUCAAGUGCGUAGGCUGAAGAGUUAGGUAAAUCCGGCUCUU
RNAcentral lists this ribosomal RNA (1496 nucleotides) under Vibrio sp. 1-2-3a. RNAcentral's name for it is "partial 23S ribosomal RNA". It matches the Rfam family "Bacterial large subunit ribosomal RNA", at positions 1 to 1550 of the family's 2925-position model. Lineage: Bacteria; Pseudomonadati; Pseudomonadota; Gammaproteobacteria; Vibrionales; Vibrionaceae. The record is from RNAcentral.